CUGGCGGCGUGCUUAACACAUGCAAGUCGAACGCGAAAGGGACUUCGGUCCUGAGUAGAGUGGCGCACGGGUGAGUAACGCGUAAGUGAUCUACCCCUGUAUUUGGGAUAACUAUGGGAAACUGUAGCUAAUACUGGAUACGUUCAUAUAGUUGCGAUUAUGUGAAGAAAGAUGGCCUCUGAUUCAAGCUAUUGUACAGGGAGGAGCUUGCGUACCAUUAGCUAGUUGGUAGGGUAAUGGCCUACCAAGGCAACGAUGGUUAGCGGGUCUGAGAGGAUGAUCCGCCACACUGGAACUGAAACACGGACCAGACUCCUACGGGAGGCAGCAGUGAGGAAUAUUGCGCAAUGGGGGCAACCCUGACGCAGCGACGCCGCGUGGAUGAUGAAGGCCUUCGGGUCGUAAAAUCCUGUCAGAUGGGAAGAAGUGCAUGGUGGUUAAUACCCAUCAUGUUUGACGGUACCAUCAGAGGAAGCACCGGCUAACUCCGUGCCAGCAGCCGCGGUAAUACGGAGGGUGCAAGCGUUGUUCGGAAUUACUGGGCGUAAAGCGCGCGUAGGCGGUUUGUUAAGUCAGAUGUGAAAGCCCAGGGCUUAACCUUGGACGUGCAUUUGAAACUGGCAGACUUGAGUAUUGGAGGGGGUGGUGGAAAUCCCGGUGUAGAGGUGAAAUUCGUAGAUAUCGGGAGGAAUACCGGUGGCGAAGGCGACCACCUGGCCAAAUACUGACGCUGAGGUGCGAAAGCGUGGGGAGCAAACAGGAUUAGAUACCCUGGUAGUC
This 780-nucleotide ribosomal RNA is filed under the name uncultured bacterium. Its description in RNAcentral is "bacterial SSU rRNA". It matches the Rfam family "Bacterial small subunit ribosomal RNA", at positions 36 to 795 of the family's 1533-position model. The record is from RNAcentral.